This 465-nucleotide ribosomal RNA is filed under the name uncultured bacterium. RNAcentral describes it as "partial 16S ribosomal RNA". It matches the Rfam family "Bacterial small subunit ribosomal RNA", at positions 338 to 795 of the family's 1533-position model. The record is from RNAcentral.
CCUACGGGUGGCAGCAGUGGGGAAUAUUGCGCAAUGGGCGAAAGCCUGACGCAGCGACGCCGCGUGAGGGAUGAAGGUCUUCGGAUUGUAAACCUCUGUCAGCAGGGAAGCACGGUCACUGUGCUAAUCAGCAGUGAAUUGACGGUACCUGCAAAGGAAGCACCGGCUAACUCCGUGCCAGCAGCCGCGGUAAUACGGAGGGUGCGAGCGUUAAUCGGAAUUACUGGGCGUAAAGCGCUCGUAGGCGGUAUGUCAAGUCAAGGGGGAAAUCCCCGCGCUCAACGUGGGAACUGCCUUUGAAACUGGCAAACUGGAGUGUGUGAGAGGAUAGUGGAAUUCCAGGUGUAGGAGUGAAAUCCGUAGAUAUCUGGAGGAACAUCAGUGGCGAAGGCGACUAUCUGGCACAUAUCUGACGCUGAGGAGCGAAAGCGUGGGUAGCAAACAGGAUUAGAUACCCGAGUAGUC